This 123-nucleotide small nuclear RNA is filed under the name Notamacropus eugenii (tammar wallaby). The record is from RNAcentral. Lineage: Eukaryota; Metazoa; Chordata; Mammalia; Diprotodontia; Macropodidae.
AUGCAUGAACAUCCUCCAGUUUGGUCUGGGCUGCAUAUAUACUAAAAUUGGAAUGGUACAGAGAAGAUAAGCAUGACUUUGCACAAGGAUGACAUGCAAAUUCAUGCAGUAUUCCAUAUUUGA